RNAcentral lists this long non-coding RNA (1192 nucleotides) under Marmota monax (woodchuck). The record is from RNAcentral. Lineage: Eukaryota; Metazoa; Chordata; Mammalia; Rodentia; Sciuridae.
AAUUUGGACACAGUGGACCCAAAGUUGCAGCAUUUCAUUGAGGUGGAAACUCAGAAGCAGCGCUUCUAGCAGCUGGUGCACCAGAUGACUGGACUUUGUUGGGAGAAAUGCAUGGACAAGCCUGGGCCAAAGUUGGACAGUCCGUCUGAGGCCUGUUUUGUGAACUGCGUUGAACGCUUCAUUGAUACGAGCCAAUUCAUCUUGAAUCGACUGGAACAGACCCAGAAAUCCAAGCCAGUCUUCUCAGAAAGCUUUUCUGACUGAUCUCAGCAUUACCUUUUGGGAAAAAGAAGGUAGUUCAAGAAAGGAAGAGCUAUUGAUGGGAUAGUUGAAGAAUUGACUAUGGGGCAUUGGCCCCCCGUCUUUUGCCACUUGUGGGAUAUCGUGUCACCUGAGAAUAAACAAAGACCAAUUGUUUUUUGUGGGGUUUGAGGGUCAUAUGUGUAUUUGGUUGUGUUUUUUAAUGUUAAUCUUGUAAAAAAAAUUGACAGAAAACUUAGAUGCAUAUUACUGAAUAUAAGACUGCUUUUUCUCAAGGUCUCCUUAACAGCUAUAAUUUUGAUAGUGGAAUUGCUUUCUAUAACUUGAUGUUGGGAUCUCAUAAGUAAAAAUCUCUAUUUGUGUGAAUUUAUUUCAUUGUUUAGGGAGAUCUUUGUGUCUGAAAAGAGGGCAGCGGGAGAGUGUGAUUUGGUACUUAAUUUGGCCUCCUUGUCUAGUUUUUGACUACCAGUGCUGGAAAAAAAAAAUCUUUAGAGUGUUUAUACAGUACACUUCAGCUUUCUAGGUUGUGUCUCUCCCCUUUACUAUGAUUCACUUAAAAAUAUCUAUAUUAAAAUAUGGUCUCAAGGUAGUACAGGCAGCCUGAGAAUCUAGAAGCCUUUAGUUAUAAAGGAAUCUGACCAGUAAACAUGAUUCUCAUUACUAGACAACCACAGGAAGAAGUAAACCUAAAGGAAGAAGUAAACUUGUACUGUACAUCAGGGUAAAAAAAAAAAAAAAAUUCAAAGAUGGUGCCUAAAGAAAUGAUAUCAUUUAGCCCUGUCAGAAACUAAUAACAGUUUUAAGUAGAGAUGCAUACCUGAUGUUAAUCAUUAUAGAUUUAAUUUACUGCAUUCUUUUGACAAUUAAAAUAAAAGUUUCUAUUCUGAAAAAAUAAUGUACUUAUUAUAAUUCUGCUGGAUCUGUUUUGCUA